GUAUUUACGUGGGACGGUAAAGGGAGCGUAGGCGGAUAUUUAAGUGGGAUGUGAAAUACCCGAGCUUAACUUGGGAGCUGCAUUCCAAACUGGAUAUCUAGAGUGCAGGAGAGGAGAAUGGAAUUCCUAGUGUAGCGGUGAAAUGCGUAGAGAUUAGGAAGAACACCAGUGGCGAAGGCGAUUCUCUGGACUGUAACUGACGCUGAGGCUCGAAAGCGUGGGGAGC
This 226-nucleotide ribosomal RNA is filed under the name uncultured bacterium. RNAcentral describes it as "partial 16S ribosomal RNA". It matches the Rfam family "Bacterial small subunit ribosomal RNA", at positions 560 to 769 of the family's 1533-position model. The record is from RNAcentral.